This 52-nucleotide small RNA is filed under the name Aliterella atlantica CENA595. RNAcentral's name for it is "Nitrogen stress-induced RNA 1". It matches the Rfam family "Nitrogen stress-induced RNA 1". Lineage: Bacteria; Bacillati; Cyanobacteriota; Cyanophyceae; Chroococcidiopsidales; Aliterellaceae. The record is from Rfam by way of RNAcentral.
AGGUAGAUGCACCCUGGUUAAGCUCUAGAGUCAAAAUCUAGAGCUUUUUUCU